RNAcentral lists this non-coding RNA (31 nucleotides) under Rattus norvegicus (Norway rat). Lineage: Eukaryota; Metazoa; Chordata; Mammalia; Rodentia; Muridae. The record is from RNAcentral.
UGCGCUCCCUGCUCCCCGCUCACCCCCAGGU